This 413-nucleotide long non-coding RNA is filed under the name Homo sapiens (human). RNAcentral describes it as "non-protein coding ADAMTS9-AS2:9". Lineage: Eukaryota; Metazoa; Chordata; Mammalia; Primates; Hominidae. The record is from RNAcentral.
AAAACACACAUUGUAAAAUAAGAAUUCUUCAAAGACAACUUGAAGACAUCUGGGAAUUCUGAAGCCUGAAAAUUCCAUGAGUUCAUAGCAGUGUUCACUAAUUCCACUGAUCUAAAGACAAAAAGGAGAGUCAACUGCGUGCCCAAACUCAUUUCUGAUGAUUUCUUCCAUCCUAACUUUUCUGCCUCUCUGGGGGUGGUUAUGCCUGUGAAAAACAUUGAAGCUGUCAGGAACAGAGUCGGCUUUCAAGAUUGGAAUGUCAAAGUAGAGUCUUCUUUUCCUCAGACCAGAAGGGGCUUGGUUGGGUAAGAGUUUCCAGAUCUAAAUGGAGACAGGACUGGGAUAUAGGAGCUUGUACGGAUAAACAACACAAACACCUUGGCCCCCACAUGCAAGAAUAGCAAUGCUGGCAA